RNAcentral lists this transfer RNA (73 nucleotides) under Stegodyphus mimosarum. It matches the Rfam family "tRNA". From Rfam's summary of the family: Transfer RNA (tRNA) molecules are approximately 80 nucleotides in length. The record is from Rfam by way of RNAcentral. Lineage: Eukaryota; Metazoa; Arthropoda; Arachnida; Araneae; Eresidae.
GCCUUCGUAGUGUAGUGGUCAGCAUGCUCGACGCGUAACCAAGAAGUCCGUGGUUCGAUUCCCGGCGAAAGCG